This 432-nucleotide ribosomal RNA is filed under the name uncultured bacterium. RNAcentral describes it as "partial 16S ribosomal RNA". It matches the Rfam family "Bacterial small subunit ribosomal RNA", at positions 29 to 506 of the family's 1533-position model. The record is from RNAcentral.
AACGAACGCUGGCGGCAUGCCUAACACAUGCAAGUCGAACGAAACCUUCGGGUCUAGUGGCGCACGGGUGCGUAACGCGUGGGAACCUGCCCUUAGGUUCGGAAUACCUCCCCGAAGGGGGUGCUAAUACCGGAUAAUGUCUUCCGACCAAAGAUUUAUCGCCUUUGGUUGGGCCCGCGUUGGAUUAGCUAGUUGGUAGGGUACAAGCCUACCAAGGCGGCGAUCCAUAGCUGGUCUGAGAGGAUGAUCAGCCGCACUGGGACUGAGACACGGCCCAGACGCCUACGGGAGGUGGCAGUGGGGAAUAUUGGACAGUGGGCGAAAGCCUGAUCCAGCAAUGCCGCGAGAGUGAUGAAGGCCUUAGGGUUGUAAAGCUCUUUUACCCGGGAUGAUAAUGACAGUACCGGGAGAAUAAGCUCCGGCUAACUCCGU